Molecule: ribosomal RNA, 839 nt
Filed under: uncultured bacterium
Lineage: Bacteria
Description: bacterial SSU rRNA
Rfam family: Bacterial small subunit ribosomal RNA
Source: RNAcentral
UCGAGCGAGUCUGCCUUGAAGAUCGGAGUGCUUGCACUCUGUGAAACAAGAUACAGGCUAGCGGCGGACGGGUGAGUAACACGUGGGUAACCUGCCCAAGAGAUCGGGAUAACACCUGGAAACAGAUGCUAAUACCGGAUAACAACAGAUGAUGCCUAUCAACUGUUUAAAAGAUGGUUCUGCUAUCACUCUUGGAUGGACCUGCGGUGCAUUAGCUAGUUGGUAGGGUAACGGCCUACCAAGGCGAUGAUGCAUAGCCGAGUUGAGAGACUGAUCGGCCACAUUGGGACUGAGACACGGCCCAAACUCCUACGGGAGGCAGCAGUAGGGAAUCUUCCACAAUGGACGCAAGUCUGAUGGAGCAACGCCGCGUGAGUGAAGAAGGGUUUCGGCUCGUAAAGCUCUGUUGUUGGUGAAGAAGGACAGGGGUAGUAACUGACCUUUGUUUGACGGUAAUCAAUUAGAAAGUCACGGCUAACUACGUGCCAGCAGCCGCGGUAAUACGUAGGUGGCAAGCGUUGUCCGGAUUUAUUGGGCGUAAAGCGAGUGCAGGCGGCUCGAUAAGUCUGAUGUGAAAGCCUUCGGCUCAACCGGAGAAUUGCAUCAGAAACUGUCGAGCUUGAGUACAGAAGAGGAGAGUGGAACUCCAUGUGUAGCGGUGAAAUGCGUAGAUAUAUGGAAGAACACCGGUGGCGAAGGCGGCUCUCUGGUCUGUUACUGACGCUGAGGCUCGAAAGCAUGGGUAGCGAACAGGAUUAGAUACCCUGGUAGUCCAUGCCGUAAACGAUGAGUGCUAAGUGUUGGGAGGUUUCCGCCUCUCAGUGCUGCAGCUAACGCAU